This 520-nucleotide ribosomal RNA is filed under the name uncultured Paraglomus. Its description in RNAcentral is "SSU rRNA". It matches the Rfam family "Eukaryotic small subunit ribosomal RNA", at positions 569 to 1092 of the family's 1831-position model. The record is from RNAcentral. Lineage: Eukaryota; Fungi; Glomeromycota; Glomeromycetes; Paraglomerales; Paraglomeraceae.
AGCAGCCGCGGUAAUUCCAGCUCCAAUAGCGUAUAUUAAAGUUGUUGCAGUUAAAAGCUCGUAGUUGAAUUUCAGGCCUGGCUGGACGGUCCGCCCUUCGGGUGAGUACUGUCUGUGGUCGGGUCCUACCUUCUGGCGAAGCGUCAUGGCCUUAACCGGCCGUGGCGGGGAACCAGGACUUUUACUGUGAAAAAUUAGAGUGUUCAAAGCAGGCAAAUCGCUUGGAUACAUUAGCAUGGAAUAAUGGAAUAGGACAAUGGUUCUAUUUGUUGGUUUCUAGGACCGUUGUAAUGAUUAAUAGGGAUAGUUGGGGGCAUUAGUAUUCAACUGUCAGAGGUGAAAUUCUUGGAUUUAUUGAAGACUAACUACUGCGAAAAGCAUUUUACCAAGGAUGUUUUCAUUAAUCAAGAACGAAAGUUAGGGGAUCGAAGACGAUCAGAUACCGUCGUAGUCUUAACCAUAAACUAUGCCGACUAGGAAUCGGGCGAUGUUAGAAAAAUGACGCGCUCGGCACCUCAUG